RNAcentral lists this ribosomal RNA (586 nucleotides) under Pseudomonas sp. StFRB339. RNAcentral describes it as "bacterial SSU rRNA". It matches the Rfam family "Bacterial small subunit ribosomal RNA", at positions 102 to 683 of the family's 1533-position model. Lineage: Bacteria; Pseudomonadati; Pseudomonadota; Gammaproteobacteria; Pseudomonadales; Pseudomonadaceae. RNAcentral also lists the same sequence under 1 other name. The record is from RNAcentral.
ACGGGUGAGUAAUGCCUAGGAAUCUGCCUGGUAGUGGGGGACAACGUUUCGAAAGGAACGCUAAUACCGCAUACGUCCUACGGGAGAAAGCAGGGGACCUUCGGGCCUUGCGCUAUCAGAUGAGCCUAGGUCGGAUUAGCUAGUUGGUGAGGUAAUGGCUCACCAAGGCGACGAUCCGUAACUGGUCUGAGAGGAUGAUCAGUCACACUGGAACUGAGACACGGUCCAGACUCCUACGGGAGGCAGCAGUGGGGAAUAUUGGACAAUGGGCGAAAGCCUGAUCCAGCCAUGCCGCGUGUGUGAAGAAGGUCUUCGGAUUGUAAAGCACUUUAAGUUGGGAGGAAGGGUUGUAGAUUAAUACUCUGCAAUUUUGACGUUACCGACAGAAUAAGCACCGGCUAACUCUGUGCCAGCAGCCGCGGUAAUACAGAGGGUGCAAGCGUUAAUCGGAAUUACUGGGCGUAAAGCGCGCGUAGGUGGUUCGUUAAGUUGGAUGUGAAAUCCCCGGGCUCAACCUGGGAACUGCAUCCAAAACUGGCGAGCUAGAGUAUGGUAGAGGGGUGGUGGAAUUUCCUGUGUAGCGGUG